UGCAAGUCGAACGAGGUAUAUUUUUCGGAAUAUACUUAGUGGCGGACGGGUGAGUAACGCGUGAACAAUCUGCCCUGUACAAAGGAAUAGCCUCGGGAAACCGGGAUUAAAACCGUAUAACACUUUAGUAUCGCAUGAUACAGAAGUCAAAUAUUUAUAGGUAUGGGAUGAGUUCGCGUCUGAUUAGCUAGUUGGUAAGGUAAUGGCUUACCAAGGCGACGAUCAGUAGCCGGCCUGAGAGGGUGAACGGCCACACUGGAACUGAGACACGGUCCAGACUCC
Molecule: ribosomal RNA, 282 nt
Filed under: uncultured Sedimentibacter sp.
Lineage: Bacteria; Bacillati; Bacillota; Tissierellia
Description: partial 16S ribosomal RNA
Rfam family: Bacterial small subunit ribosomal RNA
Source: RNAcentral